AGCUCUCCGAGUGGUGUGGAUGAUUAUUGGGCCUAAAGCAUCCGUAGCCGGCUGUGCAAGUCCCCUGUUAAACCCAACGAUUCAAUCGUUGGCUCGCGGGGGAUACUGCGCGGCUAGGGGGCGAGAGAGGCCGUCGGUAUUCCCGGGGUAGGGGUGAAAUCCUAUAAUCCCGGGAGGACCACCAGUGGCGAAGGCUGUCGGCUAGAACGCGCUCGACGGUGAGGGAUGAAAGCUGGGGGAGCGAACC
RNAcentral lists this ribosomal RNA (247 nucleotides) under uncultured crenarchaeote. RNAcentral's name for it is "partial 16S ribosomal RNA". It matches the Rfam family "Archaeal small subunit ribosomal RNA", at positions 478 to 725 of the family's 1478-position model. Lineage: Archaea; Thermoproteati; Thermoproteota. The record is from RNAcentral.